UACGAAGGGGGCUAGCGUUGUUCGGAAUUACUGGGCGUAAAGCGCACGUAGGCGGAUUUGUAAGUCAGGGGUGAAAUCCCGGGGCUCAACCUCGGAACUGCCUUUGAUACUGCAAGUCUCGAGUCCGAUAGAGGUGAGUGGAAUUCCUAGUGUAGGGGUGAAAUUCGUAGAUAUUAGGAAGAACACCAGUGGCGAAGGCGGCUCACUGGAUCGGUACUGACGCUGAGGUGCGAAAGCGUGGGGAGCAAACAGG
This 253-nucleotide ribosomal RNA is filed under the name uncultured bacterium. Its description in RNAcentral is "partial 16S ribosomal RNA". It matches the Rfam family "Bacterial small subunit ribosomal RNA", at positions 524 to 776 of the family's 1533-position model. The record is from RNAcentral.